GUUUACGGCCAUACCAGCCUGGGUACGCCUGAUCUCGUCUGAUCUCGGAAGCUAAGCAGGGUCGGGCCUGGUUAGUACUUUGAUGGGAGACCGCCUGGGAAUACCAGGUGCUGUAGGCU
Molecule: ribosomal RNA, 119 nt
Filed under: Salmo trutta (river trout)
Lineage: Eukaryota; Metazoa; Chordata; Actinopteri; Salmoniformes; Salmonidae
Source: RNAcentral